RNAcentral lists this ribosomal RNA (424 nucleotides) under uncultured Lactobacillus sp. RNAcentral's name for it is "bacterial SSU rRNA". It matches the Rfam family "Bacterial small subunit ribosomal RNA", at positions 358 to 774 of the family's 1533-position model. Lineage: Bacteria; Bacillati; Bacillota; Bacilli; Lactobacillales; Lactobacillaceae. The record is from RNAcentral.
GGAAUCUUCCACAAUGGACGAAAGUCUGAUGGAGCAACGCCGCGUGAGUGAAGAAGGUUUUCGGAUCGUAAAACUCUGUUGUUGGAGAAGAACACGUUUGAGAGUAACUGUUCAGACGUUGACGGUAUCCAACCAGAAAGCCACGGCUAACUACGUGCCAGCAGCCGCGGUAAUACGUAGGUGGCAAGCGUUGUCCGGAUUUAUUGGGCGUAAAGAGAAUGUAGGCGGUUUAUUAAGUUUGAAGUGAAAGCCCUCGGCUCAACCGAGGAAGUGCUUCGAAAACUGGUAAACUUGAGUGCAGAAGAGGAAAGUGGAACUCCAUGUGUAGCGGUGGAAUGCGUAGAUAUAUGGAAGAACACCAGUGGCGAAGGCGGCUUUCUGGUCUGUAACUGACGCUGAGGCUCGAAAGCAUGGGUAGCGAACA